AUUAAUAUGUUUUUAAUUCAAUUGCUAUUAUUUCCCAUCCGUCCACCCACUCUUACUACUACCCAGGCACCGUGCACUCGUCUACUAUUCGUCCCGUCUAUAAUCGAAUUCCCGGCCUGAAAUCUAAACGACUCGGACGGCGACGUCGAUGACGAUGACGACGAUGGCAUUUGCUCCGUACCGUCGUCGUUGUCCUCGCUAUAAUAUCGCGGAAAAUUAAAGUGCCGGUCUCGGCAUGCGGUUAUUAUAAUUUAUAGUAUUAUACAGGUACGCGAGAAUAUAAAACGAAAUAUGGGUUA
Molecule: non-coding RNA, 299 nt
Organism: Cinara cedri
Lineage: Eukaryota; Metazoa; Arthropoda; Insecta; Hemiptera; Aphididae
Source: the annotation of a GenBank genome assembly